This 462-nucleotide ribosomal RNA is filed under the name uncultured bacterium. RNAcentral's name for it is "bacterial SSU rRNA". It matches the Rfam family "Bacterial small subunit ribosomal RNA", at positions 339 to 794 of the family's 1533-position model. The record is from RNAcentral.
GUACGGGAGGCAGCAGUCGAGAAUUUUUCACAAUGGGCGAAAGCCUGAUGGAGCGACGCCGCGUGGGGGAUGAAUGGCUUCGGCCCGUAAACCCCUGUCAUUCGCGAUCAACCCUUGCUAUUUAAAAGAUGGCAAGCUGAUAGUAGCGGAAGAGGAAGGGACGGCUAACUCUGUGCCAGCAGCCGCGGUAAUACAGAGGUCCCAAGCGUUGUUCGGAUUCACUGGGCGUAAAGGGUGCGUAGGUGGCGGGGUAAGUCGGAUGUGAAAUCUCGGAGCUCAACUCCGAAAUGGCAUUGGAAACUACCUUGCUCGAGGGUUGGAGGGGGGACUGGAAUUCUCGGUGUAGCAGUGAAAUGCGUAGAUAUCGAGAGGAACACCGGUGGCGAAGGCGAGUCCCUGGACAACUCCUGACACUGAGGCACGAAAGCUAGGGGAGCAAACAGGAUUAGAUACCCCGGUAGC